Molecule: ribosomal RNA, 510 nt
Filed under: Epicoccum sorghinum
Lineage: Eukaryota; Fungi; Ascomycota; Dothideomycetes; Pleosporales; Didymellaceae
Description: eukaryotic LSU rRNA
Rfam family: 5.8S ribosomal RNA (bases 146-299)
Source: RNAcentral
CUUUCGUUUGCAGUGAAGCUUUGCCUGCUAUCUCUUACCCAUGUCUUUUGAGUACCUUACGUUUCCUCGGUGGGUUCGCCCACCGAUUGGACAAAUUUAAACCCUUUGCAGUUGAAAUCAGCGUCUGAAAAAACUUAAUAGUUACAACUUUCAACAACGGAUCUCUUGGUUCUGGCAUCGAUGAAGAACGCAGCGAAAUGCGAUAAGUAGUGUGAAUUGCAGAAUUCAGUGAAUCAUCGAAUCUUUGAACGCACAUUGCGCCCCUUGGUAUUCCAUGGGGCAUGCCUGUUCGAGCGUCAUUUGUACCUUCAAGCUCUGCUUGGUGUUGGGUGUUUGUCUCCUGUAGACUCGCCUUAAAACAAUUGGCAGCCGGCGUAUUGAUUUCGGAGCGCAGUACAUCUCGCGCUUUGCACUCAUAACGACGACAUCCAAAAGUACAUUUUUACACUCUUGACCUCGGAUCAGGUAGGGAUACCCGCUGAACUUAAGCAUAUCAAAAGCCCGGAGGAA